This 500-nucleotide ribosomal RNA is filed under the name uncultured bacterium. Its description in RNAcentral is "partial 16S ribosomal RNA". It matches the Rfam family "Bacterial small subunit ribosomal RNA", at positions 30 to 523 of the family's 1533-position model. The record is from RNAcentral.
AUUGAACGCUGGCGGCAUGCCUUACACAUGCAAGUCGAACGGCAGCACGGGAGCAAUCCUGGUGGCGAGUGGCGAACGGGUGAGUAAUAUAUCGGAACGUGCCCAGUCGUGGGGGAUAACGCAGCGAAAGCUGUGCUAAUACCGCAUACGAUCUCUGGAUGAAAGCGGGGGACCGUAAGGCCUCGCGCGAUUGGAGCAGCCGAUAGCAGAUUAGCUAGUUGGUGGGGUAAAGGCCCACCAAGGCGACGAUCUGUAGCUGGUCUGAGAGGACGACCAGCCACACUGGAACUGAGACACGGUCCAGACUCCUACGGGAGGCAGCAGUGGGGAAUUUUGGACAAUGGGCGCAAGCCUGAUCCAGCAAUGCCGCGCGCAGGAUGAAGGCCUUCGGGUUGUAAACUGCUUUUGUACGGAACGAAACGGCGAGCUCUAAUAAAGUUUGCUAAUGACGGUACCGUAAGAAUAAGCACCGGCUAACUACGUGCCAGCAGCCGCAGUAA